ACGGAGGAUCCGAGCGUUAUCCGGAUUUAUUGGGUUUAAAGGGCGCGCAGGCGGGGAUUUAAGUCAGGGGUGAAAAACCACCGCUCAACGGGGGAACUGCACUUGAUACUGCAUGUCUAGAGUAUAGUUGGGGAGGGCGGAAUGUAGCAUGUAGCGGUGAAAUGCUUAGAUAUGCGACAGAACACCGAUCGUGAAGACAGCUCACUAAGCUAUAACUGACGCUCAGGCACGAAAGCAUGGGGAGCAAACAG
Molecule: ribosomal RNA, 251 nt
Filed under: uncultured prokaryote
Description: partial 16S rRNA
Rfam family: Bacterial small subunit ribosomal RNA
Source: RNAcentral